This 90-nucleotide ribosomal RNA is filed under the name Weissella paramesenteroides. Lineage: Bacteria; Bacillati; Bacillota; Bacilli; Lactobacillales; Lactobacillaceae. The record is from RNAcentral.
UGUCGUGAUGAUGGCACUGAGGUCACACCUGUUCCCAUACCGAACACAGUAGUUAAGCUCAGUAGCGCCAAAAGUAGUUGGAGGAUCGCC